RNAcentral lists this ribosomal RNA (337 nucleotides) under uncultured Anaerolineaceae bacterium. RNAcentral describes it as "bacterial SSU rRNA". It matches the Rfam family "Bacterial small subunit ribosomal RNA", at positions 1032 to 1382 of the family's 1533-position model. The record is from RNAcentral. Lineage: Bacteria; Bacillati; Chloroflexota; Anaerolineae; Anaerolineales; Anaerolineaceae.
GCACAGGUGCUGCAUGGCUGUCGUCAGCUCGUGUCGUGAGAUGUUCGGUUAAGUCGCUAACGAGCGCAACCCUCGUCGUGUGUUACAAGUGUCACGCGAGACCGCCGGUCAUAAACCGGAGGAAGGUGGGGAUGACGUCAAGUCAGCAUGGCCUUUAUGUCCUGGGCUACACACACGCUACAAUGGCCAGUACAAUUGGUAGCUAAGCCGCGAGGUGGAGCCAAUCCGUAAAAGCUGGCCUCAGUUCAGAUUGUAGGCUGCAACCCACCUGCAUGAAGAUGGAGUUGCUAGUAACCGCAGGUCAGCAAUACUGCGGUGAAUACGUUCCCGGGUCUUU